RNAcentral lists this long non-coding RNA (1869 nucleotides) under Carassius auratus (goldfish). RNAcentral describes it as "lncRNA (ENSCARG00000013581.1)". Lineage: Eukaryota; Metazoa; Chordata; Actinopteri; Cypriniformes; Cyprinidae. The record is from RNAcentral.
GUGAACCGUGGGAAAGCGUGAUGGCGAUUGAGAAGGUCAUUGAGCAACUCUUUCCUCUGGGCUGUGCUCGACAGGCUCCAGAAAACAGCCUCCAGUCUGUCUCUGACACACAGUCCUGGAUAACACGAGAAGAAGCGAAACACCAGAACAUCUGUCUGAACACCGGAGACAGAUAUGAGUUUCAAAACCUUUCAAAACAGCCACUUCUCGGGGAUCUCUUGAUUUAUGGUCUAUGGACACGCGUCUGAUUCCCAGUGCAGCCACACAGAUGAGUUUCCCUCCAUUUUUAAAACGAGACAGAAUUAAAUGAAAUUAAAUGAGGUAUGAGAUGUCGAGCGUGUCUCUGUAGCCGUCGGCUCAUUUCUCUUUCACUCAGUUACACGCAGAGAGAAUAUCACCAGUUCAAACAGCUCUCCAGUGUUUUCUGUCACUCAGAACACAGAAAAUUACCCAGAAGCCCUCAGAUCCAGAGCCACAGAUAAAACACAGAGCCACAUGAAGAACGUGAUGCAUGCAGGUGAAAACACACACACCAUAUAACACACACACACACACUUCAUACGCCGGGAACUGAUCAGCUCUAAUCAGGAACCCUGAUUAAUUACCCAUUAGGCAAAGCGUGAUUGUUGAUAUAGUGUGUCAUUCAAACAGAGCAGCGGGGAAAUACACACACACACACUGCAUGCUUCUCUUUAGACUGAAGUGCACUACAUAGACAGCAACACUACUAUAAUGCCAUAAACAUGAUUUUAACAUUUACAUAACCUUUAAAUAAAUGUUAGGGGAACAUUCGCUGUUAGCUGCAAUAAGUCGAUAGGCUUUGAAACAGACCUAAACUCAUAAAAAUAAAGGUUCGUUAUAAAGUCAAAAAUCAUGAAGAACACGGUUCUUAUAGAGCAAAAAUAUUCUAAAAGCUCUUCACACUCGGGGAAAAAAAGGUUCUUUGUGAAAACCCCCUUCUGCAACCUUUUUUGUUAAGAGUGCGCUCACGGUCAUGAAAUCAAACUGAUUUCUCUGUCUUGCUAUAACCUUUAAAUCAGCUGCGUUUUCAUUAAUUGUGUGCUCAAAUCCCCGAGCCGCUAAUGGUUUAAGAAUGAGGUCAGUGUGCAGAAUCGAGGGGUUUGAACACGUUUGCUCUCAUCUGCUAAUGAAGAGAUCCUUCAGUCAGUUCGGUUACACAGAAUGACCUCACAAUAGUGAAGAGUGAACCAGAGUUCAUGCUCAAGUGUUUGUCUGAGAGGUUUACUGAAAGCCUUGUACAAUACAUUAUAUAAUUAGUUUUAAUGCAUUUAUUAUGCCUUUGUGAUGCAAUUUUAUAAUGCAUUGUAUGAUCACAAGUAUAACACGACAAAAUAACUUCAAAUAUUAUCAUGCAUUAUUUAUAAAAAUUGUGGGCCGAUAGUUUAGCUUGAGCUGUUUGUCUUUGAUGGCACACGUCUGUGCUUUUCCUCCGGUCGAAUACUAAUAUAUUCUUUCUCAUCCAUGUAGCCAGAAUUUUGACUGGUCAAGAACUCCCAAAAAUAUGUUCUGAGGGCUCAAGGGGCCUGUUUCAAAGCAGAACCACAAGAAUAUUGGAAAAUGUCAAAAAUCGUUUGAAAGUAGAACUUCUUUUAACUAGAGCGCCGUAUUUUUUAAAUGCAUGUCGUGCAUGUGACGCUGCAAAAGACAUGAGACUUGAACGCAGCUGUCAAACACAUCCGUCUAGCCUAGCUAGGUUAGAAAAACAGCAGACUAGUUCUGUGUGAACAAACGCUAAGAAUGAUUUGCUAACAUUCAAAGUAAGUUCUGAAUGUUGCAUAAGUGUUCACAAUCACCAGUUGUUGUUUAUGUUUUGUCAAUGUAAAGGAAACAUUCCAUUUGAUCAUUUUG